CUCCUCCGAUCUCUUGGGAGUGAAAACAUGUCUAAAGUGCCCUCUACAGUGGUGAGGACAUGCUGUAUGUGCCCUUUUUUUUCUUUCCGCCCCUGCCCUU
This is a long non-coding RNA of Thalassophryne amazonica, 100 nucleotides long. RefSeq lists it as uncharacterized. The transcript has 4 exons. NCBI's taxonomy places the organism in Eukaryota, Metazoa, Chordata, Actinopteri, Batrachoidiformes, Batrachoididae. The record is from RefSeq and is a predicted model, not a curated record.